RNAcentral lists this small nuclear RNA (164 nucleotides) under Carlito syrichta (Philippine tarsier). RNAcentral describes it as "U1 spliceosomal RNA (ENSTSYG00000031241.1)". It matches the Rfam family "U1 spliceosomal RNA". Rfam says of the family: U1 is a small nuclear RNA (snRNA) component of the spliceosome (involved in pre-mRNA splicing). Its 5' end forms complementary base pairs with the 5' splice junction, thus defining the 5' donor site of an intron. Lineage: Eukaryota; Metazoa; Chordata; Mammalia; Primates; Tarsiidae. The record is from Rfam by way of RNAcentral.
AAAAUAAGUAGGCAGGGGAGAUACCAUUAUCAUGAAGGUGGUUUUCCCAGGGCAAGGCUUAUCCAUUGCACUCUGGAUGUGCUGACCCCUGCGAUUUCCCCAAAUGUGGGAAACUCGACUGCAUAAUUUGUGGUAGUGGGAGACUGCGUUCGCGCUCUCCCCUG